GUGAGCCUCUUGAAGAAAUGCUGGCAUGAU
Molecule: non-coding RNA, 30 nt
Filed under: Rattus norvegicus (Norway rat)
Lineage: Eukaryota; Metazoa; Chordata; Mammalia; Rodentia; Muridae
Source: RNAcentral